UAGGGUCAAGGCAUCGGUUUGGUAAAUCAACGUACUUUAGUUGAGUGUCAUGGGCUCAAAUCCCAUUGCG
This 70-nucleotide transfer RNA is filed under the name uncultured Pyramimonadales. RNAcentral's name for it is "partial tRNA". The record is from RNAcentral. Lineage: Eukaryota; Viridiplantae; Chlorophyta; Pyramimonadophyceae; Pyramimonadales.